CCUCAGGCCAGUUGGAAGUAGUUCAGCUUUACCUGCUGGUUUCCUGCUGUUUGUUUCAGGAAUGCAUUUGUUUGUUUUUAAACAUUAGAUUUAAACAUUUGAUUGUGCGCCUCUUACGUUGGGUGUAAACUACCCUGGAUCCUUUUUUGAAGCCGCUUUCCAGCUGUCCAAUCCAUGGGAUUCCCUGCUGCCUUCACGCUGAAAACAACUACCAAAAGUACUCCUCUGUCAGAGAAGCCAGCUGGAAAAGUCGAUUCUACUGACAUAUACCUCUGCAUGCAGUUCUGAGCAAGACAAGAGGAAAACCCAUUGGUGAAUGGACAGAAUUCCAGGAGCGCACUGCCAUCUGCCACUUGCAUAAGAAGAAGAAGAAGAAGGAAGAGAAAUAAUCAGUGGGACACAGCACCAGGAGGAACUGGUGGUCAGAGCAUGCCUACCUCCUGCUGGUGCAUGCUGUCUAAGCACUACCUGACUGUCUCUCUGUGCCUCCCCAAGGACUCAGACUGACCAAGCUACUGAGGGAUAUGUAGACAAACCAAACCAGGCUGACCCAAUGGACUGCUAGGGUCGAGUGUG
Conger conger (European conger) is the source of this 576-nucleotide long non-coding RNA. RefSeq lists it as uncharacterized. The transcript has 3 exons. Lineage: Eukaryota; Metazoa; Chordata; Actinopteri; Anguilliformes; Congridae. The record is from RefSeq and is a predicted model, not a curated record.